AGAAUGAACGCUGGCGGCGUGCUUCAGACAUGCAAGUCGAACGCGAAAGCCCGCAAGGGCAAGUAAAGUGGCGCACGGGUGAGUAAUACUUGGGUAACGUGCCCAAUCGCUGGGGAUAACGAGGCGAAAGCUUCGCUAAUACCGAAUGAUUCCAUUGAGUCUGUGGAUUUGAUGGAUAAAGCCGUAAGGCGCGAUUGGAGCGGCUCAAGCCCCAUUAGCUAGUUGGUGGGGUAAAGGCCUACCAAGGCUACGAUGGGUAGCUGGUCUGAGAGGAUGAUCAGCCACACUGGUACUGGAACACGGACCAGACUCCUACGGGAGGCAGCAGUUAGGAAUUUUGUGCAAUGGGGGAAACCCUGACACAGCAACGCCGCGUGAGUGAUGAAGGCCUUCGGUUGUAAAGCUCGUUUUAGUUAGGGAAGAAAAAAUGAACUGUAACCAACAGAAACAGCAACCGCUAACUCUGU
This 467-nucleotide ribosomal RNA is filed under the name uncultured soil bacterium. Its description in RNAcentral is "bacterial SSU rRNA". It matches the Rfam family "Bacterial small subunit ribosomal RNA", at positions 26 to 506 of the family's 1533-position model. The record is from RNAcentral.